RNAcentral lists this ribosomal RNA (1372 nucleotides) under uncultured bacterium. Its description in RNAcentral is "bacterial SSU rRNA". It matches the Rfam family "Bacterial small subunit ribosomal RNA", at positions 28 to 1381 of the family's 1533-position model. The record is from RNAcentral.
GAUGAACGCUGGCGGCGUGCCUAAUACAUGCAAGUCGAGCGAACGGACGAGAAGCUUGCUUCUCUGAUGUUAGCGGCGGACGGGUGAGUAACACGUGGAUAACCUACCUAUAAGACUGGGAUAACUUCGGGAAACCGGAGCUAAUACCGGAUAAUAUUUUGAACCGCAUGGUUCAAAAGUGAAAGACGGUCUUGCUGUCACUUAUAGAUGGAUCCGCGCUGCAUUAGCUAGUUGGUAAGGUAACGGCUUACCAAGGCAACGAUGCAUAGCCGACCUGAGAGGGUGAUCGGCCACACUGGAACUGAGACACGGUCCAGACUCCUACGGGAGGCAGCAGUAGGGAAUCUUCCGCAAUGGGCGAAAGCCUGACGGAGCAACGCCGCGUGAGUGAUGAAGGUCUUCGGAUCGUAAAACUCUGUUAUUAGGGAAGAACAUAUGUGUAAGUAACUGUGCACAUCUUGACGGUACCUAAUCAGAAAGCCACGGCUAACUACGUGCCAGCAGCCGCGGUAAUACGUAGGUGGCAAGCGUUAUCCGGAAUUAUUGGGCGUAAAGCGCGCGUAGGCGGUUUUUUAAGUCUGAUGUGAAAGCCCACGGCUCAACCGUGGAGGGUCAUUGGAAACUGGAAAACUUGAGUGCAGAAGAGGAAAGUGGAAUUCCAUGUGUAGCGGUGAAAUGCGCAGAGAUAUGGAGGAACACCAGUGGCGAAGGCGACUUUCUGGUCUGUAACUGACGCUGAUGUGCGAAAGCGUGGGGAUCAAACAGGAUUAGAUACCCUGGUAGUCCACGCCGUAAACGAUGAGUGCUAAGUGUUAGGGGGUUUCCGCCCCUUAGUGCUGCAGCUAACGCAUUAAGCACUCCGCCUGGGGAGUACGACCGCAAGGUUGAAACUCAAAGGAAUUGACGGGGACCCGCACAAGCGGUGGAGCAUGUGGUUUAAUUCGAAGCAACGCGAAGAACCUUACCAAAUCUUGACAUCCUUUGACAACUCUAGAGAUAGAGCUUUCCCCUUCGGGGGACAAAGUGACAGGUGGUGCAUGGUUGUCGUCAGCUCGUGUCGUGAGAUGUUGGGUUAAGUCCCGCAACGAGCGCAACCCUUAAGCUUAGUUGCCAUCAUUAAGUUGGGCACUCUAAGUUGACUGCCGGUGACAAACCGGAGGAAGGUGGGGAUGACGUCAAAUCAUCAUGCCCCUUAUGACUUGGGCUACACACGUGCUACAAUGGACAAUACAAAGGGCAGCGAAACCGUGAGGUCAAGCAAAUCCCAUAAAGUUGUUCUCAGUUCGGAUUGUAGUCUGCAACUCGACUACAUGAAGCUGGAAUCGCUAGUAAUCGUAGAUCAGCAUGCUACGGUGAAUACGUUCCCGGGUCU